RNAcentral lists this ribosomal RNA (253 nucleotides) under uncultured bacterium. Its description in RNAcentral is "partial 16S ribosomal RNA". It matches the Rfam family "Bacterial small subunit ribosomal RNA", at positions 524 to 776 of the family's 1533-position model. The record is from RNAcentral.
UACAGAGGGGGCGAGCGUUGUUCGGAAUUACUGGGCGUAAAGGGCGCCUAGGCGGCCUUCUAAGUCGAACGUGAAAUCCCCGGGCUCAACCCGGGAACUGCGUCCGAUACUGGGAGGCUUGAAUCCGGGAGAGGGAUGUGGAAUUCCAGGUGUAGCGGUGAAAUGCGUAGAUAUCUGGAGGAACACCGAUGGCGAAGGCAAUCCCCUGGGCCUGCACUGACGCUCAUGCACGAAAGCGUGGGGAGCAAACAGG